Molecule: transfer RNA, 70 nt
Filed under: Cebus olivaceus (weeper capuchin monkey)
Lineage: Eukaryota; Metazoa; Chordata; Mammalia; Primates; Cebidae
Description: tRNA-Phe
Rfam family: tRNA
About the family: Transfer RNA (tRNA) molecules are approximately 80 nucleotides in length.
Source: RNAcentral
GUUAAUGUAGCUUAGUACUCAAAGCAAGGCACUGAAAAUGUCUAGACGGGUAUUUACUACCCCAUAAACA